Molecule: ribosomal RNA, 802 nt
Filed under: Setoptus koraiensis
Lineage: Eukaryota; Metazoa; Arthropoda; Arachnida; Trombidiformes; Phytoptidae
Description: partial 28S ribosomal RNA
Rfam family: Eukaryotic large subunit ribosomal RNA
Source: RNAcentral
CAAAGUACUUUGAAGAGAGAGUUAAACAGGGCGUGAAACCGCUGGCUGGUAAACGAGUGGAGCCACGAAGUCGUUUCGUAGAAUAAAGAAUACAAAUUCAGUCAAGGUUUCGGCUUUGAUGCACUUUUGUUUAUUCUUCUAUGUAUGCGUACACUGCAACCAAUUAGACAAUUAAUUGUGGAAACAGUUGCCUAACAUAGGGAGAAAUCUCUAUGUUGAGUAAUGAAAUGUUUAUAUAUCUUCUGUAGGUAGCUUGGUGUGGUCCUCGUGGCCAUUCUGAGUGUAUGACAUGUUGAUAUGAGAGCUACAAUUAAAUACUGAUUGGCACAAUGAAAAUCCAUAACUGGUAUUAGAUAACACUGGCAGUAUUGUAUAUAUGUACAAGUAUUUAUUAUCAGCGUAAGCUUAGUAGUUUUAAAUUUAGGCUGGCAGGCUACUUUUGAUUUCGGUCAUUGGUGCCUGUUUAGUUUCCUAUCUAAUUGGCUAUUAACUUUGCUGGUGAUCUUGUAUUUGCUAUGAUAGCAUAUAUGCAAUAAUUGUUUAGUUAUUAUAUUGGCAGUGAGUAGGUCGGCUUUCCACACGACCCGUCUUGAAACACGGACCAAGGAGUCUAGUUAAGUAUCGAGUUGAUCGGUCUUGAUUAGGCCAGAAUGAGAGAUUCGUUUCUCGAUUGAAAGCAAAGUGAAAUCAAAUUAUGUGAUCCUAUCUCUAUUAACAUAGACUAGGCGCAACAUAUACCCAUUCGUAUAACUAUACGCGCAAGUGUUAGUUGGGUGGAGUAAAGAGAUACUUGACUGGUACC